This 524-nucleotide ribosomal RNA is filed under the name uncultured bacterium. Its description in RNAcentral is "bacterial SSU rRNA". It matches the Rfam family "Bacterial small subunit ribosomal RNA", at positions 777 to 1314 of the family's 1533-position model. The record is from RNAcentral.
AAUAGAUACCCGGGUAGUCCACGCCGUAAACGAUGGAUGCUAGCUGUUAGGAGUAUCGACCCUCCUAGUAGCGUAGCUAACGCGUUAAGCAUCCCGCCUGUGGAGUACGAGCGCAAGCUUAAAACAUAAAGGAAUUGACGGGGGACCCGCACAAGCGGUGGAGCGUGUUGUUUAAUUCGAUGGUAAGCGAAGAACCUUACCCAGGCUUGACAUCCUGCCAAAGACUCCGAAAGGAGACUGUGCCUUCGGGCCGCAGUGACAGGUGAUGCAUGGCCGUCGUCAGCUCGUGUCGUGAGAUGUUUGGUUAAGUCCAUCAACGAGCGCAACCCCUAUGACUAGUUGUAUUUCUCUAGUCAGACUGCCCUGGCAACAGGGGAGGAAGGAGGGGAUGAUGUCAGGUCAGUAUCUCCCUUACGCCUGGGGCUACAAACACGCUACAAUGGCCGGUACAAAGGGCAGCAACCCGCGAGGGGGAGCAAAUCCCAUCAAAGCCGGUCUCAGUUCGGAUUGCAGGCUGAAACUCG